Molecule: long non-coding RNA, 1147 nt
Filed under: Chrysemys picta bellii (western painted turtle)
Lineage: Eukaryota; Metazoa; Chordata; Testudines; Emydidae
Description: lncRNA (ENSCPBG00000005487.1)
Source: RNAcentral
AUUUCUAGGUACUCCCUACCCUGGCUCGGGUAUAGGGGCUGCUAUUUUAAUCUGAGCCCUAUUUCUUACAGAUCUCUGAGUCACCUUCUGCUCUGCAUUACAGGUGUGUACUAUAAGUUUAUGGUUUCAAGAGUUCUAAAACAUUUAUUGCCUGAAUAUAAAAUGGUUCAAAGUAUUAGGAAUAUGUGGCUACAGAAACACAGUUUCAGUUUGUUGUUUAACUCUGCGUUAGGCCAAGCCAUGGACACAGAGCCCUGUAAAGGAGCCAAAAGGCUUAGGCCACGUGGCUUACAGUUAUUAGGCUAUUUAAUCAAGUUGUUCAGCCAUGUUAAACUGUUUUUGAGCCAUUUUAGUUUGAGCCCUGUUCCCUGCAGACCCCUGAGUCUCUCUCUGCUCUGUAUUACAGGUACCUGUACUAUCAGGAUCAGAAGAACCCUGUGACUUCGAAGAAUGAAGCCUGAGUUUGAUUGUGUUACAGCAGCAUUGUCAUAUUUUUAAACAGGAAUCACAAAACACUAAGAGGCCAGUUUGACAACUAUUAACAAGCCCAAUGUUUAAAGUCUGGGUCCAGUGUGUAGCAGCCAUGGAUGUAUUUACGAGCACAGACUAGCCCCCGGAGAGGUAUUUUGGGAAGACUCACCCAACAUAGAUCAGCUUUGUUUCUAUCCAUUUGGUGUUUUCGCUUCAAGAUGCAGAAGCAGAUGAACAAGAGCCCCAAGGGAAUCAAAGCAACCAAUACGUAGAUUGUUACAGUGUCGACUGUUGCUGAUUGGCCUGUAGAGAAAAUCAGCAAGCCUUUAACAUGGGCUGCCACUAUCUGUCAGAUACUCCAUCAUUCUCCAAGGGAAAGAAGGAAAAGGAAAGGCUAUGGGUACAGGGGUCUGACAGAGAAGGGAGAGAGGCCACAUGCAGCGGCAUAUACGAGGGGCACUUCCAAACAAAAUUCCUUUCACCAGGGCCUCAUGCACUGUUUAUAUACACAACAGUUUGUGCCCAAGGUUUUUAUGGGGGCCAUUUUAUUUCUGUGGCCUGGUGUUAGGUGAGCGUCAGCACCAGUAACUCUUCUCUCUCUCCCAUGUGUACCAGACCCACCUCCCCACUUCUCUCAGCUGCCCCAAAGAUCCUUGUCCUCUCUCCAUCCUGCACC